GCACGGUUAGCAAUAACUGGUGGCGACCGCGCACGGGUGCGUAACACGUAUACAAUCUACCUUAAACAGGGGGAUAGCCUUUCGAAAGAGAGAUUAAUACCCCGUAAUAAAUUGAACGGCAUCGUUUGAUUUGAAAGCUCCGGCGGUUUGAGAUGAGUAUGCGUCUGAUUAGCUAGUUGGUGAGGUAACGGCUCACCAAGGCGACGAUCAGUAGGGGACCUGAGAGGACUAAACCCCCACACUGGUACUGAGACACGGACCAGACUCCUACGGGAGGCAGCAGUAAGGAAUAUUGGUCAAUGGAGGCAACUCUGAACCAGCCAUGCCGCGUGCAGGAUGACGGCCCUAUGGGUUGUAAACUGCUUUUAUACAAGAGAAAACCCUGGUACGUGUACCAAGUUGAUAGUAUUGUAAGAAUAAGCAUCGGCUAACUUCGUG
Molecule: ribosomal RNA, 438 nt
Filed under: uncultured bacterium
Lineage: Bacteria
Description: bacterial SSU rRNA
Rfam family: Bacterial small subunit ribosomal RNA
Source: RNAcentral